AGAGUUUGAUCCUGGCUCAGGAUGAACGCUAGCGGCAGGCCUAACACAUGCAAGUCGAGGGGUAACGAUUAAGAAGCUUGCUUCUUAAGGCGACGACCGGCGCACGGGUGAGUAACGCGUAUGCAACCUACCCUUUACUGGGGGAUAGCCCGAAGAAAUUCGGAUUAAUACCCCAUAACAUUAUACUAUUGCAUAAUAGCAUAAUUAAAACUCCGGUGGUAAAGGAUGGGCAUGCGUGACAUUAGUUUGUUGGUGAGGUAACGGCUCACCAAGUCUACGAUGUCUAGGGGUCCUGAGAGGGUGAUCCCCCACACUGGUACUGAGACACGGACCAGACUCCUACGGGAGGCAGCAGUGAGGAAUAUUGCGCAAUGGACGAAAGUCUGACGCAGCCAUGCCGCGUGCAGGAUGACUGCCCUAUGGGUUGUAAACUGCUUUUAUACGGGAAUAACCCCCGAUACGUGUAUUGGGUUGAAUGUACCGUAAGAAUAAGCAUCGGCUAACUCCGUGCCAGCAGCCGCGGUAAUACGGAGGAUGCAAGCGUUAUCCGGAUUUAUUGGGUUUAAAGGGUGCGUAGGCUGUUUAGUCAGUCAGUGGUGAAAGUCUGCAGCUUAACUGUAGAAUUGCCAUUGAUACUGCUAGACUUGAGUGCGGUUGAGGUAGGCGGAAUGUGUAAUGUAGCGGUGAAAUGCUUAGAUAUUACACAGAACACCAAUUGCGUAGGCAGCUUACUAAGCCGUAACUGACGCUGAGGCACGAAAGCGUGGGGAGCGAACAGGAUUAGAUACCCUGGUAGUCCACGCCGUAAACUAUGAUCACUCGCUGUUGGCAAUACAUCGUCAGCGGCCAAGCGAAAGCAUUAAGCGAUCCCCCUGGGGAGUACGUCGGCAACGAUGAAACUCAAAGGAAUUGACGGGGGCCCGCACAAGCGGUGGAACAUGUGGUUUAAUUCGAUGAUACGCGAGAACCUUACCUGGGCUUAAAUGCAGAAUGCCUUUACCCGAAAGGGUAUUUUCCUUCGGGACGUUUUGCAAGGUGCUGCAUGGUUGUCGUCAGCUCGUGCCGUGAGGUGUCGGGUUAAGUCCCAUAACGAGCGCAACCCCUAUCGUUAGUUGCUAGCAGGUCAAGCUGAGGACUCUAACGAAACUGCCGGUGUAAACCGUGAGGAAGGUGGGGAUGACGUCAAAUCAGCACGGCCCUUAUGUCCAGGGCUACACACGUGUUACAAUGGUCGGUACUAAGGGCAGCUACCAGGCAACUGGAUGCUAAUCUCUAAAACCGGUCUCAGUUCGGAUUGAAGUCUGCAACUCGACUUCAUGAAGCUGGAAUCGCUAGUAAUCGCGCAUCAGCCAUGGCGCGGUGAAUACGUUCCCGGGCCUUGUACACACCGCCCGUCAAGCCAUGGAAGCCGGGGGUACCUGAAGUCUGUAACCGCAAGGAGCGGCCUAGGGUAAAACUGGUAACUGGGGCUAAGUCGAAACAAGGUA
Molecule: ribosomal RNA, 1487 nt
Filed under: metagenome
Description: bacterial SSU rRNA
Rfam family: Bacterial small subunit ribosomal RNA
Source: RNAcentral